AUCUGAAGAAAAUGGAGUUUGCACACCUGGUCCAGGGUGAUAUGACUGUAUCAUAAUAUGUCAGAAAGUUCCUAAAGUUUGGUUGGUAUUCCUCUGAGAGCAUGAUGGAUGAGGCAGAAAGGCAAAAAAGUUCGAGUGGGGCCUCCGUUCUGAUAUUAGACAACAGUUGUAUGUGUUCGAGCUCAGUACUUACUCAAUUAUUCUGGCCAAGGCACAACUAAUAGAGAGGAAC
This 232-nucleotide long non-coding RNA is filed under the name Carica papaya (papaya). Its description in RNAcentral is "long non-coding RNA (CPAP_LNC009097)". Lineage: Eukaryota; Viridiplantae; Streptophyta; Magnoliopsida; Brassicales; Caricaceae. The record is from RNAcentral.